This 460-nucleotide ribosomal RNA is filed under the name uncultured bacterium. Its description in RNAcentral is "partial 16S ribosomal RNA". It matches the Rfam family "Bacterial small subunit ribosomal RNA", at positions 338 to 795 of the family's 1533-position model. The record is from RNAcentral.
CCUACGGGAGGCAGCAGUGAGGAAUAUUGGUCAAUGGACGAGAGUCUGAACCAGCCAAGUAGCGUGAAGGAUGACUGCCCUAUGGGUUGUAAACUUCUUUUAUAAAGGAAUAAAACGAGGCACGUGUGCCCUUUUGCAUGUACUUUAUGAAUAAGGAACGGCUAACUCCGUGCCAGCAGCCGCGGUAAUACGGAGGAUCCGAGCGUUAUCCGGAUUUAUUGGGUUUAAAGGGAGCGUAGAUGGGUUGUUAAGUCAGUUGUGAAAGUUUGCGGCUCAACCGUAAAAUUGCAAUUGAUACUGGCAGUCUUGAGUACAGUUGAGGUAGGCGGAAUUCGUGGUGUAGCGGUGAAAUGCUUAGAUAUCACGAAGAACCCCGAUUGCGAAGGCAGCUUACUAAACUGUGACUGACAUUGAUGCUCGAAAGUGUGGGUAUCAAACAGGAUUAGAUACCCCAGUAGUC